GAUGAACGCUAGCUACAGGCUUAACACAUGCAAGUCGAGGGGCAACAUGGUUUAGGCUUGCUACGUCUGAUGGCGACCGGCGCACGGGGGAGAAAAACGUAUCCCCACCGCCGUCUACUCUUGGGCAGCACUCUGCAAGGAAGAGUAAAAUAAGUUGGCAUCAUGAGUCCGCGUGUUCACAGGAUAAAAGGUAUUCCGGUGGAAGAUGGGGAUGCGUUCCAUUAGAUAGUUGGCGGGGUAACGGCCCACCAAGUCGUCGAUGGAUAGGGGUUCUGAGAGGAAGGUCCCCCACAUUGGAACUGAGACACGGUCCAAACUCCUACGGGAGGCAGCAGUGAGGAAUAUUGGUCAAUGGGCGCAGGCCUGAACCAGCCAAGUAGCGUGAAGGAUGACUGCCCUAUGGGUUGUAAACUUCUUUUGUAAGGGGAUAAAGUCGGGUACGUGUAACUGUUUGCAGGUACCAUACGAAUAAGGACCGGCUAAUUCCGUG
RNAcentral lists this ribosomal RNA (490 nucleotides) under uncultured bacterium. RNAcentral describes it as "partial 16S ribosomal RNA". It matches the Rfam family "Bacterial small subunit ribosomal RNA", at positions 28 to 507 of the family's 1533-position model. The record is from RNAcentral.